AGUGAACGCUGGCGGUAGGCCUAACACAUGCAAGUCGAACGGCAGCACAGUAAGAGCUUGCUCUUACGGGUGGCGAGUGGCGGACGGGUGAGGAAUACAUCGGAAUCUACUUUUUCGUGGGGGAUAACGUAGGGAAACUUACGCUAAUACCGCAUCCGACCUACGGUUGAAAGCAGGGGAUCUUCGGACCUUGCGCGAUUGAAUGCGCCGAUGUCGGAUUAGCUAGUUGGCGGGGUAAAGGCCCACCAAGGCGACGAUCCGUAGCUGGUCUGAGAGGAUGAUCAGCCACACUGGAACUGAGACACGGUCCAGACUCCUACGGGAGGCAGCAGUGGGGAAUAUUGGACAAUGGGCGCAAGCCUGAUCCAGCCAUACCGAGUGGGUGAAGAAGGCCUUCGGGUUGUAAAGCCCUUUUGUUGGGAAAGAAAAGCAGCAGGUUAAUACCCCGCUGUUCUGACGGUACCCAAAGAAUAAGCACCGGCUAACUUCGUG
This 492-nucleotide ribosomal RNA is filed under the name uncultured bacterium. Its description in RNAcentral is "partial 16S ribosomal RNA". It matches the Rfam family "Bacterial small subunit ribosomal RNA", at positions 29 to 507 of the family's 1533-position model. The record is from RNAcentral.